GUGGUCCAUAGUAGAAAAAGAAGGAGGGGACACCCAAGAGUUGGGCACCACUUGUCUUGCCCUGUUUGGAUUUUCCUUGACUAGGUAUUUGACCUAGACAAAGACUCUUCAUAUCUCAUUAUUUAAGAUAGAUUUCUUCUUGAUAUUUUUAUAGAUUAUAUAGCAUUGAGAUACCUUUGGGGCAUGUAAAAAUCAGGAAGAAAGAGUGUUGGGGCAUGGAGAUAUAAUAGACACAAAACUAGAUGUCUAGG
This 251-nucleotide long non-coding RNA is filed under the name Elaeis guineensis (African oil palm). RNAcentral's name for it is "long non-coding RNA (EGUI_LNC070152)". The record is from RNAcentral. Lineage: Eukaryota; Viridiplantae; Streptophyta; Magnoliopsida; Arecales; Arecaceae.